This is a non-coding RNA of Daldinia decipiens, 73 nucleotides long. NCBI's taxonomy places the organism in Eukaryota, Fungi, Ascomycota, Sordariomycetes, Xylariales, Hypoxylaceae. The record is from the annotation of a RefSeq genome assembly.
UCCGGUAUAGUGUAACGGCCAACAUACCUCGUUUUCACCGAGGAGCUCGGGGUUCGAUUCCCCCGUACCGGAG